CCCCCAGGUUUCCCGGCACCGACUCAGCUCCUCUCCUCUCCUUUCCUCUUCCAGACAGAUGCGUCCCGUUUGUCUUGGGAAGGGGAGCUGUUCCUCGGGAGAGAGGCCAUCGUGGAGAAGCUGACGGUGGAUGAAGAACUAGCCAUGGAAUUUCACCAGUCGUUUGUUCUCAAGAAUAUAAAUGACAAAUGGAUUUGCAUUAAUGAUAUUUUUAGAGUGGCUUCAUAGAAUUUUGAUUGAAUACAUCUACUAUUUGUAUACUAGUUUUUCACCCUCUUAACAGCUUUGUUUGACAUAAAAAAUAUAAGGAGCACAUUGGAAUUUUCUUUGGUUUUUACUUGGAAGUGAUUUGAUAAAUAAAGGAAAAUGGAUGU
This 374-nucleotide long non-coding RNA is filed under the name Dasypus novemcinctus (nine-banded armadillo). RNAcentral describes it as "lncRNA (ENSDNOG00000052201.1)". The record is from RNAcentral. Lineage: Eukaryota; Metazoa; Chordata; Mammalia; Cingulata; Dasypodidae.